RNAcentral lists this ribosomal RNA (119 nucleotides) under Cercocebus atys (sooty mangabey). RNAcentral also lists the same sequence under 2 other names. The record is from RNAcentral. Lineage: Eukaryota; Metazoa; Chordata; Mammalia; Primates; Cercopithecidae.
GUCUAUGGCCAGACUACCUUAAAUGUGCCCAAUCUUGUCUGAUGUCAGAAGUUUAGCAGGACUGAGGCUGGUUAAUACUUGGAUGGGAGACUGCCUGGGAAUACCAGGUGCCAUAGGCU